UGGGGAAUUUUGGACAAUGGGCGCAAGCCUGAUCCAGCAAUGCCGCGUGCAGGAUGAAGGCCUUCGGGUUGUAAACUGCUUUUGUACGGAGCGAAAAGGUCUGCCCUAAUACGGUGGGCUCAUGACGGUACCGUAAGAAUAAGCACCGGCUAACUACGUGCCAGCAGCCGCGGUAAUACGUAGGGUGCGAGCGUUAAUCGGAAUUACUGGGCGUAAAGCGUGCGCAGGCGGUUAUAUAAGACAGAGGUGAAAUCCCCGGGCUCAACCUGGGAACUGCCUUUGUGACUGCAUAGCUAGAGUACGGUAGAGGGGGAUGGAAUUUCGCGUGUAGCAGUGAAAUGCGUAGAUAUGCGGAGGGACACCGAUGGCGAAGGCAAUCCCCUGGACCUGUACUGACGCUCAUGCACGAAAGCGUGGGGAGCAAACA
This 427-nucleotide ribosomal RNA is filed under the name uncultured bacterium. RNAcentral describes it as "bacterial SSU rRNA". It matches the Rfam family "Bacterial small subunit ribosomal RNA", at positions 355 to 774 of the family's 1533-position model. The record is from RNAcentral.